AGAUUGAACGCUGGCGGCAUGCCUAACACAUGCAAGUCGAACGGGAGUAGCAAUACUCUAGUGGCGGACGGGUGAGGAAUACGUAGGAAUUUGCCCUUAAGUGGGGGAUAACCCGGGGAAACCCGGAUUAAUACCGCAUGACCUCGAAAGAGCAAAGUGGGGGAUCGCAAGACCUCACGCUUUUGGAGAAGCCUACGUCGGAUUAGCUAGUUGGUGAGGUAAUGGCUCACCAAGGCGACGAUCCGUAACUGGUCUGAGAGGAUGAUCAGUCACACCGGAACUGAGACACGGUCCGGACUCCUACGGGAGGCAGCAGUGGGGAAUAUGGACAAGUGGGCGCAAGCCUGAUCCAGCAAUGCCGCGUGUGUGGAAGAAGGUCCGUUCGGUUGUAAAGGACUAACUUUAAGGUUAGGGUAAAGAAAAAACGUCG
This 430-nucleotide ribosomal RNA is filed under the name uncultured soil bacterium. Its description in RNAcentral is "bacterial SSU rRNA". It matches the Rfam family "Bacterial small subunit ribosomal RNA", at positions 26 to 495 of the family's 1533-position model. The record is from RNAcentral.